GUUUGUGGCUCAGCGGUAGAGUGUUUGUCUCGCAUGUGAGAGACCUUGGGUUGGAUCCUCAGCAACACA
Molecule: transfer RNA, 69 nt
Filed under: Marmota monax (woodchuck)
Lineage: Eukaryota; Metazoa; Chordata; Mammalia; Rodentia; Sciuridae
Description: tRNA.Ala
Source: RNAcentral